UACGAAGGGUGCAAGCGUUAAUCGGAAUUACUGGACGUAAAGCGCGCGUAGGUGGUUUGAUAAGCGAGAUGUGAAAGCCCCAAGCUUAACCUGGGAACGGCAUUUCGAACUGUCAGGCUAGAGUAUGGUAGAGGGUAGUGGAAUUUCCUGUGUAGCGGUGAAAUGCGUAGAUAUAGGAAGGAACACCAGUGGCGAAGGCGGACUACCUGGACCAAUACUGACACUGAGGUGCGAAAGCAUAAGGAGCAAACAGGAUUAGAUACCCCGGUAGUCC
This 274-nucleotide ribosomal RNA is filed under the name uncultured bacterium. RNAcentral describes it as "partial 16S ribosomal RNA". It matches the Rfam family "Bacterial small subunit ribosomal RNA", at positions 524 to 796 of the family's 1533-position model. The record is from RNAcentral.